UACGUAGGGUGCAAGCGUUGUCCGGAAUUGUUGGGCGUAAAGAGCGUGUAGGCGGCCCGGUUAGUCCGCUGUGAAAGUCCAGGGCUCAACCCUGGAAUGCCGGUGGAUACUGUCGGGCUAGAGUCCGGAAGGGGCGAGUGGAAUUCCUGGUGUAGCGGUGAAAUGCACAGAUAUCAGGAGGAACACCGGUGGCGAAGGCGGAUCUCUGGGCCAUUACUGACGCUGAGGAGCGAAAGCGUGGGGAGCGAACAGG
RNAcentral lists this unclassified non-coding RNA (253 nucleotides) under uncultured Solirubrobacterales bacterium. RNAcentral's name for it is "contains 16S-23S intergenic spacer region". It matches the Rfam family "Bacterial small subunit ribosomal RNA", at positions 524 to 776 of the family's 1533-position model. Lineage: Bacteria; Bacillati; Actinomycetota; Thermoleophilia; Solirubrobacterales. The record is from RNAcentral.